RNAcentral lists this long non-coding RNA (283 nucleotides) under Elaeis guineensis (African oil palm). RNAcentral's name for it is "long non-coding RNA (EGUI_LNC064401)". The record is from RNAcentral. Lineage: Eukaryota; Viridiplantae; Streptophyta; Magnoliopsida; Arecales; Arecaceae.
CCAUUAAACAAUACUGUACUAUAACGGAGUUCUUUAGACAUGGUGAUAUUAUGAACAAUUUCACUUCUCCUUUGCCUUCUUCCAUACUGAAUAAGGUUAGCCGCCUACUUCUAAUCCAUCAUUCAACUCAUCUGACUAGUGGAAGAGAUGGCAAGCUUUGGAAAUGGAGUUCUAGCAAGAGUUGAAGGAAAAAUGGGUAGUUCAAAGCAUGUAUUUUUAAAAAUUUUUAUCAUCAAAAAAUAAAAUAUUAAAUAUUUUAAUCUCCUAUACAUGCUUUAAAUCA